Molecule: unclassified non-coding RNA, 884 nt
Filed under: Hevea brasiliensis (rubber tree)
Lineage: Eukaryota; Viridiplantae; Streptophyta; Magnoliopsida; Malpighiales; Euphorbiaceae
Source: RNAcentral
UGACACCAUCAGCUCCCCAUUCCGCCACCUGCUUAACAUGUUCCGGUUUUGAAAUGCCAAAUCCGACUGCCACUGGUUUAGACGUUGCCUCUUUAAUGUCUAGUAGGAGAGACUGAACCUUAGAACUCACAGAUGCACGAGCUCCAGUAACUCCGACUGCACUUACAAGAUACACGAAUCCUUCUGAAGCUUCAGUUAUCGCUUUCAUGCGAAUUUUUGGAGUAGUUGGUGUUGUAAGCAAUACCAAUUCAAUAUUAUGCCUAGCAGCUUCCUUUCUCAACAUUUCAGUUUCCUCUAGAGGAACAUCUGGAACAACAAGUCCGUGUACACCAGUAUCCCUUACAGUGGCCAUGAACUUCUCAGUACCGCGCUUGAGUAUUGGAUUAUAAUAGGUGAACAAAGCAAUAGGACAGGACAACUGAGGAACAACAUCUUCCAACAUUGAUAUAACUUUGGCAAAGUUGGUUCCUUUAGUCAGUGAUCGUGAAGCAGCAGCCUGGAUGACUGGUCCAUCAGCCAAUGGAUCAGAGUAAGGUACUCCUAGUUCUAUGAUAUCUGAACCACAUCUAUCCAGCACUUUCAGUGCUUCUGCAGUUGUUGCCAGGUCAGGAUCUCCAGCAGUGAUGUAUGGAAUAAGUGCCACCUUGCCUUGUUCCUUCAAUCGAGUGAAAGUCUCAGAAAGUCCAACUGUUGCUGUGGCGCUGAGGGCAGCCAUUAGAGGUUUGCGAGAAGUUGAAAUUUUGAUUGUUUGGGUAUAGGACUGAGAAAAUGGAUGAUUUUGAUGAUUGUUACUGGAGUGAAUAAAGUGGGUUGCUUUCAGAAAAGAUGCCAUACCAUCACCGAACCUUCUUUCUACUUGAAAAUGGAGAAAAAGCGGCGACGCA